This 755-nucleotide ribosomal RNA is filed under the name uncultured Porphyromonas sp. Its description in RNAcentral is "partial 16S ribosomal RNA". It matches the Rfam family "Bacterial small subunit ribosomal RNA", at positions 28 to 775 of the family's 1533-position model. The record is from RNAcentral. Lineage: Bacteria; Pseudomonadati; Bacteroidota; Bacteroidia; Bacteroidales; Porphyromonadaceae.
GACGAACGCUGGCGGCGUGCUUAACACAUGCAAGUCGAACGAUGAAGCGCUGUCUUUUUGGUGGUGUGGAUUAGUGGCGAACGGGUGAGUAAUACGCGGGCAACCUGCCCCUCUGCUUCGGGAUAAGCUUUGGAAACGGGGUCUAAUACCGGAUGUGCCUGUCUGGUCGCAUGGCUGGGCGGGGGAAGUUUUUUUCGGCGGGGGAUGGCUCGCGGCCUAUCAGCUUGUGGUGGGGUGAGGCCUACCAGCGCGAGGGUAGCCGGCCGAGAGGGUGGCGGCACACUGGGAUGAGAUACGCCCCAGACUCCCUACGGGAGGCAGCAGUGGGGGGAUAUUGCACAAAUGGGCGCCAAGCCUUGUUGCAGCGACCCCCGCGGUGGGGGAUUGGAGCCUUCCGGGUUGUUAAAACCCCUUUUUGGCGCCGGGAAAGGGUUCCGGUUUGGGGGGGGUUGGGGGUACCCCGUUAAAAAAACGCCGGCUAACUUCCGGGCCAACCGCCCCGGUAAAACCUAGGGGGCCAAGCGUUGUCCCGGAAUUAUUGGGCGUAAAAGGGUCUCUAGGGGGGUUGUCCCGUCUCUGGGAAAAACCGGGGGUUCAACUCCCCCCUUCAGGGGGGAACCGGCAGGCUGGAGUUCGGCAGGGUGGUUGAAUUCCUGGGGUAGCGGGGGAAUCCCCGGAAUUAGGGAAGAACACCGAUGGGAAGCAGGCCCCUGGGCCGGUCCUUACCUGAGGAGCGAAAGCGGGGGAGCGAACAG